AACGAACGCUGGCGGCAUGCCUAACACAUGCAAGUCGAACGAGACCUUCGGGUCUAUUGGCGCACGGGUGCGUAAGGCGAGUUAACCGGCCCUUAGAGUCGGAAGAACGGCCCGAAAGGGGUGCUAAUACCGGUUAAGGUGCCCACACCAAAGAUCUAUCGCCCUUGGAUGGGCCCGCGUUGUAUUAGCUAGUUGGUAGGGUAAAAGCCUACCAAGGCGACGAUCCAUAGCUGGUCUGAGAGGAUGCUCAGCCACACUGGGACUGAGACACGGCCCAGACUCCUACGGGAGGCAGCAGUGGGGAAUAUUGGACAAUGGGCGAAAGCCUGAUCCAGCAAUGCCGCGUGAGUGAUGAAGGCCUUAGGGUUGUAAAGCUCUUUUACCCGGGAUGAUAAUGACAGUACCGGGAGAAUAAGCUCCGGCUAACUCCGUG
RNAcentral lists this ribosomal RNA (433 nucleotides) under uncultured bacterium. RNAcentral's name for it is "partial 16S ribosomal RNA". It matches the Rfam family "Bacterial small subunit ribosomal RNA", at positions 29 to 507 of the family's 1533-position model. The record is from RNAcentral.